RNAcentral lists this ribosomal RNA (784 nucleotides) under uncultured Rothia sp. RNAcentral's name for it is "bacterial SSU rRNA". It matches the Rfam family "Bacterial small subunit ribosomal RNA", at positions 68 to 856 of the family's 1533-position model. Lineage: Bacteria; Bacillati; Actinomycetota; Actinomycetes; Micrococcales; Micrococcaceae. The record is from RNAcentral.
GAAGGCCUGGCUUUUGUUGGGUUGGAUUAGUGGCGAACGGGUGAGUAAUACGUGAGUAACCUACCUUUAACUCUGGGAUAAGCCUGGGAAACUGGGUCUAAUACCGGAUACGACCAAUCUCCGCAUGGGGUGUUGGUGGAAAGCGUUAUGUAGUGGUUAUAGAUGGGCUCACGGCCUAUCAGCUUGUUGGUGAGGUAACGGCUCACCAAGGCGACGACGGGUAGCCGGCCUGAGAGGGUGACCGGCCACACUGGGACUGAGACACGGCCCAGACUCCUACGGGAGGCAGCAGUGGGGAAUAUUGCACAAUGGGCGCAAGCCUGAUGCAGCGACGCCGCGUGAGGGAUGACGGCCUUCGGGUUGUAAACCUCUGUUAGCAGGGAAGAAGAGAGAUUGACGGUACCUGCAGAGAAAGCGCCGGCUAACUACGUGCCAGCAGCCGCGGUAAUACGUAGGGCGCGAGCGUUGUCCGGAAUUAUUGGGCGUAAAGAGCUUGUAGGCGGUUUGUCGCGUCUGCUGUGAAAGGCCGGAGCUUAACUCCGUGUAUUGCAGUGGGUACGGGCAGACUAGAGUGCAGUAGGGGAGACUGGAAUUCCUGGUGUAGCGGUGGAAUGCGCAGAUAUCAGGAGGAACACCGAUGGCGAAGGCAGGUCUCUGGGCUGUAACUGACGCUGAGAAGCGAAAGCAUGGGGAGCGAACAGGAUUAGAUACCCUGGUAGUCCAUGCCGUAAACGUUGGGCACUAGGUGUGGGGAACAUUCCACGUUUUCCGCGCCGUAGCUAAC